Molecule: transfer RNA, 91 nt
Filed under: Alphaproteobacteria bacterium
Lineage: Bacteria; Pseudomonadati; Pseudomonadota; Alphaproteobacteria
Description: tRNA-Ser
Rfam family: tRNA
About the family: Transfer RNA (tRNA) molecules are approximately 80 nucleotides in length. Their secondary structure includes four short double-helical elements and three loops (D, anti-codon, and T loops).
Source: RNAcentral
GGAGAGGUGGCCGAGUGGUUGAAGGCGCUCGCCUGGAAAGCGGGUAUACGGCAAAACCGUAUCGUGAGUUCGAAUCUCAUCCUCUCCGCCA